UGGCGGGUAGCUCAGUUGGUAGAGCCCCGGAUUGUUAAUCCGGUCCGCGCAGGUUCGAGCCCUGCCCCGCCAG
Molecule: transfer RNA, 73 nt
Filed under: Nocardioides sp. YR527
Lineage: Bacteria; Bacillati; Actinomycetota; Actinomycetes; Propionibacteriales; Nocardioidaceae
Description: tRNA_Asn_GTT
Rfam family: tRNA
About the family: Transfer RNA (tRNA) molecules are approximately 80 nucleotides in length. Their secondary structure includes four short double-helical elements and three loops (D, anti-codon, and T loops).
Source: RNAcentral